UUGACAGGUUCUUUCUUAUACUCUGAAAUGUAAGAAUUUUAUGUUCUCAGUAAGAAGAUAGAGAAGAAAGAUACCACCUAAAAACUUGGGGAUUUUCAGGCCAAAAUUUGAGAUUACGUUGAUCUUCUGGAUAUACGACCUGAAUGCAACCCCAAGUGUUGAGAGCUGAAUGAAGUUUCUCUAGUUCUUGUGCAACCUCUGAAGAAGUUGUAAGAAGGCCAAGAACAAUAGUUGGUAUGUCCAUGUCCGGGAAAGCAUCAUUCAGAGACCUUCUGGCACUUGUUCCCCUUCAGAAGCCAACUCUUGGACGGUUUUCGAAGGUACCUCCAUCUAGGCUAAAAGAUAGGAACUUGCCGGCACCUCCUUGGUCCCAAAUGUUGGGUUUCUUUAUGGUAUUGGUAAUGUAUGUGAUUCUAUUUAUAUAAGGUGGUGACAAAAGUUUGCCUUGGACCAUCAAAUGCUAACAAAAAUUACACUUUCGUAUAUAAAAUUACUCUUUCACAUUUAGAAAAAGCUAUUGAAAGAGCUCCUGUAUGCCUCCUAUUAACAUCCUAGUGGUAAAGCCAUCACUUUUUUUGGGCGAAGGUCGAGCCUUGAAGAAGACUUUUCAGGAACAAGAAAAUUACAUGGUCAUUUGGGACUUGAAAAAUGGAAGCCGAGGAAAUUGGAAGGAGGCGCUCGAUCCGACCACUAUUUCAAUCCUUUUGUCAUUUCAUCUUUUAUUUAUUUAUUUUAUUAAUUUUUUUUAACUGACAAAAACCAUUAUUAAUUAGUCAAUUAUUCUUAUAUAAUUAUCAUCUAGUGCUUUUGCA
Ziziphus jujuba (common jujube) is the source of this 812-nucleotide long non-coding RNA. RefSeq lists it as uncharacterized. NCBI's taxonomy places the organism in Eukaryota, Viridiplantae, Streptophyta, Magnoliopsida, Rosales, Rhamnaceae. The transcript has 2 exons. The record is from RefSeq and is a predicted model, not a curated record.